Molecule: ribosomal RNA, 250 nt
Filed under: uncultured bacterium
Lineage: Bacteria
Description: partial 16S ribosomal RNA
Rfam family: Bacterial small subunit ribosomal RNA
Source: RNAcentral
UACGUAGGGGGCUAGCGUUGUCCGGAAUCAUUGGGCGUAAAGAGCGUGUAGGCGGCCCGGUAAGUCCGCUGUAAAAGUCAAAGGCUCAACCUUUGAAUGUCAGUGGAUACUGCCGGGCUAGAGUCCGGAAGAGGCGAGUGGAACUCCUGGUGUAGCGGUGGAAUGCGCAGAUAUCAGGAAGAACACCAACGGCGAAGGCAGCUCGCUAGGACGGUACUGACGCUGAGACGCGAAAGCGUGGGGAGCGAAC